Molecule: unclassified non-coding RNA, 300 nt
Filed under: uncultured Sebacinales
Lineage: Eukaryota; Fungi; Basidiomycota; Agaricomycetes; Sebacinales
Description: sequence contains 5.8S rRNA gene, ITS2
Rfam family: 5.8S ribosomal RNA (bases 1-71)
Source: RNAcentral
GUGAAUCAUCGAAUCUUUGAACGCACCUUGCACCCUUUGGUAUUCCGAAGGGUACACCCGUUUGAGUGUCAUUGUAAUCUCACUUCUACAACUUUUUUGUUGUCGAAUGUGGACUUGGACGUCUGCCGUGUUUCAACGGCUCGUCUUAAAUGUCUGAGUGUACCCCGCUUUGCGGCGUAUUCGGUGUGAUAAACAUUUCACCGGAGUUUGGUCUUCUGACCGCGCUUUUGCAAUUGGUGGGCUCUAUGCUUUCCAACCGUCCCUUGUGGACAAAUCUUUGACAAUUUGACCUCAAAUCGG